RNAcentral lists this long non-coding RNA (1553 nucleotides) under Homo sapiens (human). RNAcentral's name for it is "HSALNT0379289". The stretch from base 1 to 69 matches the Rfam family "Small nucleolar RNA SNORD113/SNORD114 family". The record is from RNAcentral. Lineage: Eukaryota; Metazoa; Chordata; Mammalia; Primates; Hominidae.
ACCUAUGAUGAUGACUGGUGGCGUAUGAGUCAUUGACGGUGAAUACAGGUCUGGAAGUCUGAGGUCCAAUAUAAUAAAAAAUCUAGUCUUCACCUUCUAUCCUAGGGAUAGACAUUAGGAAUAUUUGAGGAUGUUGUUCUUGGUCUUCACGUUCAUGCAUUUUCCCUCUAUUUUUAUAAUUGGAUCAAUGAAUCAAUAAGCAAAUAUAUUUUAACUGCAUAAAGAUAAAAAUAGGCGUUGUCCAAUUAUGGAAAUAUAUGGUGAAAUAAGAAAUACUAUUCACAUUUAUUAAAAACACUGAGGUCUUCUUUCUAUUAACAAAUAAAUGACUCAGAGGUAUUACUCGCUUGCUGCAGGAUGGCAUAUACAGUAAAAAUAAUAAUAACGUAUGUGAGGUCAUUUGGGUCAGGACCAUGUUCAUGGUUGUUUGUUUUCUCAAGAAAAAAUAGUUUCACACAUACUUACAUGACUAAUAGAAUGAAAGGAGAAAUGUGUGGAUAAAUGGACAGAAUAUUUCCAUCUUUUUAUCUUUUUUGCUUUGUACUCUCACAAUGAACACCCUCAAGUUGACUUAAGCACCCUUCCAUGGUCAUGAGGUUUCUGGUUGCCUCUGUGUGUUAGAAGCUUGGAGACCAAUGCCUUCUGCUGUGAUCGCGUUCUCCACAGUUGCCUCUGGGUAGGAGCCUGGACACUAAUAGAAAAUGGACACACCUGGGCUGGCAGAACAUCUUGCCUUGAUCUGGAGCCCCAUGUCUGCCCCUCUGUAGAGGUGCACAUGGGCCAAUGAUGGAUGCAAUGAGCUGAUCAUUUUGCUGUGAUCAAGGCUAUGUUGCCUCUGUGUUAGGCCAAUGGUUGAUGUUCAUGGGUGAUUGAUCAUCCUGUAGCGACGGUGGUAUUGACUGUUCCCCAGAGGACAAGGAGUGUGUUCUUAUGUGGAGGCUGUCUGCAGUAGGAGCAUGGAGACCAACAAUGGAUGCUCUUAAACUGAUUUAAGCACGCUUCCAUGGUCAGAAGCCUUAUGGUUGCCACAGGGUAUUAGGAGCAUGGAGACCAAUGUGAGUAAUCAUCAAAGUUUGCUUCUUGGUGUGGGUUGUUUGCUUAAAGGUAUUAUUAUUCACUCACUAUAUUAUUGAAAAGAGUGAAUUAUAAUCAAAGAAGACCAAUUGUUGUGCAGUGACAAAAUUGAUAUAAAGCACUAUAUAAAUUAAUGGGUAUAUGAAAAACUGAAGAUAAUAAAGGAGAGAUGAUGACAUAAGAUGACUUUAUAUACAGACUAGAAAUAUCAAGUUUCUCCUUGGGUUUUGUGAAUAUAGGGCUUUAAAAUUAUUAGUGAACGAAUUAACUAAUCAAUGGAUAAUGUGGAAGUGAGAGGAGAAAAAGAGAACCAAUCCUGGAUUGAUGAUAUGAUGGCCACUGGUGGCUUAUGAGUCUUAUACAGUGAAUACAUGUUUGAAACUCUGAGGUCUGUUAGAAAAGAUACAUGGCCCAUUCUCUCUGUUUCAAAUGAUGCUACAGAAAUAAUUCAGAAAUGUUUUUAUUUGUGAUAAUUUCAU